GCCAGCAGCCGCGCGGCGAUAAACACAAGUUCCCAAUAGAUCACUAGAGUUAAGCAACGUUGCGCGUGGUUAAUACACGGAUGGGUGACCAUCUGGGCACUCGCGUGCUGCUGGCU
Molecule: ribosomal RNA, 116 nt
Filed under: Diaphorina citri (Asian citrus psyllid)
Lineage: Eukaryota; Metazoa; Arthropoda; Insecta; Hemiptera; Psyllidae
Source: RNAcentral